CAGGCUUAACACAUGCAAGUCGAGGGUCAGCAUGGUCUUAGCUUGCUAAGGCCGAUGGCGACCGGCGCACGGGUGAGUAACACGUAUCCAACCUGCCGUCUACUCUUGGACAGCCUUCUGAAAGGAAGAUUAAUACAAGAUGGCAUCAUGAGUCCGCAUGUUCACAUGAUUAAAGGUAUUCCGGUAGACGAUGGGGAUGCGUUCCAUUGGAUAGUAGGCGGGGUAACGGCCCACCUAGUCUUCGAUGGAUAGGGGUUCUGAGAGGAAGGUCCCCCACAUUGGAACUGAGACACGGUCCAAACUCCUACGGGAGGCAGCAGUGAGGAAUAUUGGUCAAUGGGCGAGAGCCUGAACCAGCCAAGUAGCGUGAAGGAUGACUGCCCUAUGGGUUGUAAACUUCUUUUAUAAAGGAAUAAAGUCGGGUAUGGAUACCCGUUUGCAUGUACUUUAUGAAUAAGGAUCGGCUAACUCCGUGCCAGCAGCCGCGGUAAUACGGAGGAUCCGAGCGUUAUCCGGAUUUAUUGGGUUUAAAGGGAGCGUAGAUGGAUGUUUAAGUCAGUUGUGAAAGUUUGCGGCUCAACCGUAAAAUUGCAGUUGAUACUGGAUAUCUUGAGUGCAGUUGAGGCAGGCGGAAUUCGUGGUGUAGCGGUGAAAUGCUUAGAUAUCACGAAGAACUCCGAUUGCGAAGGCAGCCUGCUAAGCUGCAACUGACAUUGAGGCUCGAAAGUGUGGGUAUCAAACAGGAUUAGAUACCCUGGUAGUCCACACGGUAAACGAUGAAUACUCGCUGUUUGCGAUAUACUGCAAGCGGCCAAGCGAAAGCGUUUAGUAUUCCACCUGGGGAGUACGCCGGCAACGGUGAAACUCAAAGGGAAUUGACGGGGGCCCCGCACAAGGGGGAGGAACAUGUGGGUUAAUUCGAUGAUACGCCAGGAACCCUUACCCCGGGCUAAAUUUGCAGAUGAAUUUACGGUGAAAGCCCGUAAGCCGCAAGGCAUCUGUGGAGGUGCUGCAUGGUUGUCGUCAGCUCGUGCCGUGAGGUGUCGGCUUAAGUGCCAUAACGAGCGCAACCCUUGUUGUCAGUUACUAACAGGUUCCGCUGAGGACUCUGACAAGACUGCCAUCGUAAGAUGUGAGGAAGGUGGGGAUGAUGUCAAAUCAGCACGGCCCUUACGUCCGGGGCUACACACGUGUUACAAUGGGGGGUAUAGAGGGCCGCUACCACGCGAGUGGAUGCCAAUCCCCAAAACCUCUCUCAGUUCGGACUGGAGUCUGCAACCCGACUCCACGAAGCUGGAUUCGCUAGUAAUCGCGCAUCAGCCACGGCGCGGUGAAUACGUUCCCGGGCCUUGUACACACCGCCCGUCAAGCCAUGGGAGCCGGGGGUACAAGGAGUGCGUAACCGCGAGGAG
This 1412-nucleotide ribosomal RNA is filed under the name uncultured organism. RNAcentral's name for it is "16S ribosomal RNA". It matches the Rfam family "Bacterial small subunit ribosomal RNA". The record is from RNAcentral.